AACGAACGCUGGCGGCAUGCCUAACACAUGCAAGUCGAACGAGACCUUCGGGUCUAGUGGCUCACGGGUGCGUAACGCGUGGGAACCUGCCCUUAGGUUCGGAAUAACUCCCCGAAAGGGGUGCUAAUACCGGAUAAUGUCUUCGGACCAAAGAUUUAUCGCCUUUGGAUGGGCCCGCGUUGGAUUAGCUAGUUGGUAGGGUAAAAGCCUACCAAGGCGACGAUCCAUAGCUGGUCUGAGAGGAUGAUCAGCCACACUGGGACUGAGACACGGCCCAGACUCCUACGGGAGGCAGCAGUGGGGAAUAUUGGACAAUGGGCUGAAGCCUGAUCCAGCAAUGCCGCGUGAGUGAUGAAGGCCUUAGGGUUGUAAAGCUCUUUUACCCGGGAUGAUAAUGACAGUACCGGGAGAAUAAGCUCCGGCUAACUCCGUG
Molecule: ribosomal RNA, 433 nt
Filed under: uncultured bacterium
Lineage: Bacteria
Description: partial 16S ribosomal RNA
Rfam family: Bacterial small subunit ribosomal RNA
Source: RNAcentral